This 3776-nucleotide long non-coding RNA is filed under the name Nicotiana benthamiana. RNAcentral describes it as "long non-coding RNA (NBEN_LNC006796)". Lineage: Eukaryota; Viridiplantae; Streptophyta; Magnoliopsida; Solanales; Solanaceae. The record is from RNAcentral.
CGCAACUUCUUCCAGUCUGGCAUCCCAGAAGCCCAACAUCUUGUGGUCCAAUCUAUUUCCUUUUUUGACCAGAGUCUCCUAAUAGCGUCCUUCUCCAUUGGUCCAGCUUGUGCACCAUCCUUGUCAAGAAACAUCCACUCUUUUAAAGGUUCCAUAAAAGCAGAAGCGGCAAUCAAGUUCGACUGCAGAGGUAUAGUUGUUCUGAAGCUUCAUGAACUACUGUUAGUAGAUCAACAGCCAGUACACAGCCACCAACCAAGACGCAUGACUCUACAUUUGUCAAAACCUUCAUCAAGACCUGUGCAGGGCAGAAAAUAUUUGUCAAGAAACAUCCACUCCUUUAAUGGUUCCAUAAAAGCAGAAGCAGCAAUCAAGUUCGACUGCAGAGGUAUAGUUGUUCUUUCUGAAGCUUCAUGAACUACUGUUAGUAGAUCAACAGCCAGUACACAACCACCAACCAAAACACAUGACUCUACAUUUGCCAAAACCUUCAUCAAGACCUGCGCAGGGUGGAAAAUAUUGAAAAACGAAAUAACAUUCUCAAAGUUAAGACUCUAGCCAAAUAGUAUUUUGAUCAGACAUAUAAAUGUAAAAUUAACUAGAGAGACUCUCUCCACAAUAAAAUGGAUUUUCAAGUAUCAGUUCCGAAGUCGGUGCAUUAUACUUCCUGUUGCAUGGUAACCUUGCUAAGAAAACAUUUCUAAUAGGUAAAGAUGGUCCCCCUCUUCACUACACAUAUCAUAUGACAACAGCUGAGAGAGCUUACAUUUGUUUCAUGUGGGCAUUAGUUGAUAUGCAUUAAAUCCAUUUUCAAAAUAUAAAGCGUGUUUGAGGAAUAGUUAUUACACGAGAUCAGAGGAGCAGAAAUUUUAGUCUUCAGCCUCAGAAACUAGUGUAGAAAGUGAAGGUGGUUUGCUCUUCCAAACAGUGUCAUUAAAAGCCAGCAUUUUGUCACUUAAAGUGAUGAAGCAACGCGAAGGGAGGAGUUUACCUCUUCAUGGUCGAGCCAUGCGCUUUAGAGAAGUUUGCACGUUAAACAAUGGCGCACAAAGUCAUCUCAAUGAGAAUCGGUCACUUCUUUAAUGACAACUUUGAGGAGUUGGAUCAAUAAUGGCAUUACUCUAUUGAAUUGCAAUUCAAUAUUUAUUGUACUAAAUUCAUAGAUGUUUGAUAUUUUUAAUUCUACAAAUUGUGCACUUUACUUCAAAUAAGUGUGUGCUUCACUCUCGUUUUUGCUCCAACCCGAUAAACCUUGUCGUCUUUUUGUGCUUGGCCCUUUUAAAAAGUUUUCUUCCACAGAAGUGCUUCCCUUCUAUAAUAUCAAGAGAUGAUGAGUUUCAAAAGUGUUAUCGAGGAAUUUGGUAUUUAUACAGUGAAUAAGUAUUCCCAUACAAAGUUGCAUGCUUUACUUUGCUGGUUGCUCAAAAAGCUGCUCUAACAUAAGAUAAACUGAGAAGAAGGGGAAUUCCUCUAUGUUCAAGAUGCUACUUGUGUGGUCAAGAGGUAGAGACUAUCAGCCACCUGUUUCUAUACUGCGGGGUGACUAGUCAGCUGUGGAAUUUGUCCAUCAAUAUCAGGAGUAUUAGGUGGACAAUGCCAGGAAGAACAACUGAUCUCUUGUCAUGCUCGAAUGCAGGGGGGAAAUAACACUAUCUUAUCGCACCAUGCCAGAAUGCAGGGGGAAAUAACACUCUUCUCUCACAAAGACAGAUGGAAAAUUGUCCCUGCAACUAUUUGGUGGACAUAAUGGAAACAGAGAAAUUGAAGAUGUUUUGAGGAUACAGUCAGCCCUAUCCAAAAGAUCAAGAUGAACCGUAUUCUCCUUUUUUUCUUUUUGGUGUAGAGCAGAAUAUAGUGAUGAUCUAAAAAUCAAUUCUACAAGUCUUAGAUUCCUUGUAAGAAGAUCAAGGGUUGUAAUUUUUGUUUCCUCUUUGAUCUUUUCUAAUGAUCCCUUUUGGCUCCCAACACAAGCUUGGUGCUGAAGAUUUAUUAAUAUACUGAUAUAUGUUACCUUUCAGAAAAAGGUAUUUCAAUUGGAUCACCUCACAGAUCGACUGGUAAACAAUUUCUUUUGAGAAAUGGGAAGUGUAUUAGAUUAAAAUAAAAGCACCAAGAAGGUGUGCCCAGAAAAAUAGAAGAUCCCUUUCAAUUUUUAAAGGAAUUCAAUAACAUCUAUAACAGCUUCUGCAUCAAAGUUUUGUUUACACCAAAAAAUAAAACAAUUGUAAACAGUCCAUUUUGAUUUCUGAAUGGAACAACCUUCUGCAUUAAAGGAAUUCUUUUGCUUACUUCUUAUUUCUGAGGUACAAGCAAGAUAUUAGCAGGAGAGUUACCAGAUAUUAAAGUGGCAAAGACUGCUUACACAACCAAAAUGCCAGUUUUCAAAUAAAGCAGCAAGAGCAUGGGAAAUGCCAAAGCAUAUAGGAACUGCAGUCAGAAGACUCCUAACUGAGGCAGAUAGGAGGUGAAAGGCAUGCAUUAACGACAGAGAUUAGGUAGGCGUUUUGGCAUAUAUGUUAUUUGCAAAUCAAUGUUUUAAAAUUUUGUCCAUUAUUUAAACUUCAGCUUGAAAUAGAGAAUUUGAAGUUGAAAGCUAUGUUGCGCGGACUCUCCAAAAUACUGCCGCACCUGUGUCGGAUUCUCCAAAAAUACACUGCUUUUGGAAAAUCCGUCACACACCCGGCGAUAUUUUCGGAGAGUCCGAGCAACAUAGGUUGAAAGCUGGUUUGAGGAGUAUUUCAUGUGAAAAAAGGGAUUUCAAUCACAAAAAACUUCAAACUUUUUUCCAAGUGAAAUUCAUAUCCAAAACUCUUUUCCUAAGUAGCUUGGACACGGGUGCGGGUGUCCAACACGGGUGCGGAUUUAGAGGUCGGAUCCUUCGAGAUGUAAAUUCUAGGAUUCAGGGAUACGGAUCCUAGUACGGAUACGAGUACGGGAAUCCGGCUAAAAAUAAUUUAAAAAGAUAACAAUAUCUCUAAAUUAUGAGAAAUUUUGUGAAAUACUUACGUAUAGCUUGUAAAGUGUGGAUUUCUUUUUUAUUCUCUAGUUGUAGAUAAGUAAAUGAUUAAUUUCCUAGAUAAGGUAUGCUAUUUUCUUCAAAUUUACCCUAGUUUUGGUUCUAAUUUUGGGAAUCAAAUUGUAUCUUGUCUCGAAUUUUUCCGUACGUCGUAGUCAAAGUAUCCAAAUUGUUUGACCGGAUCCGGUACGUAUCCCAUACCCACACCCAUUGUCGUGGCGACACGAGUGAGGCACCUAAACUGUCAUGUUGGAGCAAGUUAGCUCUUUUCCAACUCCAACUUCAAAUACUCAUUUUUUUCAACUUCAUCAUAAUAUUGUCCAAAUGGACACUAGAUUUUGUAAUAAGGGUGUAAAUCUUCAUCAUUCUAGUGAAUUGAGGAACCAAUAGAAGCUCUCCCCUUAAAUGGGUCUUUUUUAUAUCUUUUCAUACUAGGACCCAUUAUUAGCCCAACAAACCUCAUUUGCUAUAUUUCUUUAGUCCUUAUACUUAAUAAAAAUAACUUCUUUCUUUUCCAAGGACAGAUGGUGAUAUUUUACAAUCACAAACAUCAUUCGCUAUUUUACUUUUUACUCCUCAUACUUAGAAGAAGCAAUUCCCUUUUCCUUUUUACGAAAAAAUGUGGUGUUAUUUAAAGACAAUCAUUAAAUACAACAGCAAGGUAAACGAGGCGCACCUUUAGAAGAAGAAGAAGACGGUGUCGUAAAGCUCUAUCAUCAGUCCUGUCCAAGAGAACUGUAAUGUGUGCGGUGCCUUCAAA